GCAUUUAUCUGUUGGUGUUGUUGGGUUGAUCUAUGUUGUGUUUUCUUUAUAUGAUGUUCUUUCUCAUCUUUUGAUAUAUAUGACUUCAGUAAGAGAUGGGAUAGACGAGUUUUGAUGAUCAAUUACUUGUUGUAGGAUGCUGUGAAGAGAAACGAUGUAGGAAUAUUAUGAUGCAAGGAUUAUGGAAAAGUGAAAGACGGAGGGGAAUACACUUUGAAACACUGCAAGUGCCAUAACUUACUAGAGUACCUUUUGAAGGUUUAGGGACAAACCUGAAAGUUAAGCUUUUAGAUUUUUCUUGGUGCUAGUUUUAUUCUUAUGUUGGGUGAAAGACGGAGGGGAAUACACUUUGAAACACUGCAAGUGCCAUAACUUACUAGAGUACCUUUUGAAGGUUUAGGGACAAACCUGAAAGUUAAGCUUUUAGAUUUUUCUUGGUGCUAGUUUUAUUCUUAUGUUGGAUUUCGUAUGCUAUUUGCUUGACUUUAAAGGAUUGACAUACUUGCAAAUAAUAAUCAUGAGGAGUAUAAUUAUAUCCAUACAAUCAUGAGGAUUUCAUAUGUCGUUUUCAUGUCUAUGGAAGAUCCAAACAUAGAUAUAACAAAUGUGAGUUAUCAAUCUCUUAAGUUUGCUAGUAAUCUUGUAUCUUUGCUUGUUGGGAUCAAUUAUGAUACUAUGAUUGUUUCCUUUCUUCCUCUGUAGCUACUAUGUACUAAUGUUAUUAUAUGAGAACUGUCCCUUGAGCUGUAAGCAGUUAUACUUUUAAAUAAAUGAAUUUUUAGCUACCGGCCGCCUCCCAUCCUCAUUAUGAUCUUAUAGUCGUAACUUUGUUAUUUUUGUUGUUAGUCC
Molecule: long non-coding RNA, 849 nt
Filed under: Medicago truncatula (barrel medic)
Lineage: Eukaryota; Viridiplantae; Streptophyta; Magnoliopsida; Fabales; Fabaceae
Description: long non-coding RNA (MTRU_LNC008756)
Source: RNAcentral